The submitters of this non-coding RNA (116 nucleotides) gave its source as unclassified sequences. The record is from Rfam.
GCAAAGCCCAAGGCCCGGUCUAUCGUCUGCCUGUGUUCUGCCACAGGCAGCGGCAGACUACGACCCGUGUAAGCCGGGUGCACCCCGCAAGGGGUGCGGCGCUCACAGCUUUAGCU